RNAcentral lists this ribosomal RNA (212 nucleotides) under uncultured bacterium. Its description in RNAcentral is "partial 16S ribosomal RNA". It matches the Rfam family "Bacterial small subunit ribosomal RNA", at positions 138 to 334 of the family's 1533-position model. The record is from RNAcentral.
CGGGGAUAACAUUGCGAAAGUGAUGCUAAUACCGGAUGACAUCUAAUUUGCUUCGGCAGAUUAGAUCAAAGGUGGCCUCUAUAUAUAAGCUACUGAUUGGAGAUGAGCCCGCGUACCAUUAGCUUGUUGGUAGGGUAAUGGCCUACCAAGGCUACGAUGGUUAGCUGGUCUGAGAGGAUGAUCAGCCACACUGGAACUGACACACGGUCCAG